AUUCCAGCUCCAAUAGCGUAUAUUUAAGUUGUUGCAGUUAAAAAGCUCGUAGUUGGAUUUCGGAUGAAUGCGACCGGUCCGCCGUUUCGGUGUGUACUGGUUACGUUCGUCUUGCUGUCGGGGACGCGCUCCUGGCCUUAACUGGCUGGGACGCGGAGUCGGCGAAGUUACUUUGAAAAAAUUAGAGUGUUCAAAGCAGGCCUACGCUCUGAAUACAUUAGCAUGGAAUAACGCGAUAGGACUCUGGUCUUAUUGUGUUGGUCUUCGAGACCGGAGUAAUGAUUAAGAGGGACAGUUGGGGGCAUUCGUAUUUCAUUGUCAGAGGUGAAAUUCUUGGAUUUAUGAAAGACGAACUUCUGCGAAAGCAUUUGCCAAGGAUGUUUUCAUUA
This 389-nucleotide ribosomal RNA is filed under the name Pyramimonadales sp. RNAcentral's name for it is "partial small subunit ribosomal RNA". It matches the Rfam family "Eukaryotic small subunit ribosomal RNA", at positions 582 to 975 of the family's 1831-position model. Lineage: Eukaryota; Viridiplantae; Chlorophyta; Pyramimonadophyceae; Pyramimonadales. The record is from RNAcentral.